Molecule: ribosomal RNA, 253 nt
Filed under: uncultured bacterium
Lineage: Bacteria
Description: partial 16S ribosomal RNA
Rfam family: Bacterial small subunit ribosomal RNA
Source: RNAcentral
UACGUAAGGACCGAGCGUUGUCCGGAUUUAUUGGGCUGAAAGGGUGCGUAGGCGGACUGGUAAGUCAGCUGUGAAAGUUUACGGCUCAACCGUGAAAUUGCAGUUGAUACUGUUGGUCUUGAGUAUAGUUGAGGUGGGCGGAAUUUGUGGUGUAGCGGUGAAAUGCGUAGAUAUCACGAAGAACUCCAAUGGCGAAGGCAGCUCACUGGGGUAUAACUGACGCUGAUGCACGAAGGUGUGGGUAUCAAACAGG